Molecule: RNase P RNA, 371 nt
Filed under: Candidatus Magasanikbacteria bacterium CG_4_9_14_0_2_um_filter_42_11
Lineage: Bacteria; Candidatus Magasanikiibacteriota
Description: partial RNase P RNA component class A
Rfam family: Bacterial RNase P class A
About the family: Ribonuclease P (RNase P) is a ubiquitous endoribonuclease, found in archaea, bacteria and eukarya as well as chloroplasts and mitochondria. Its best characterised activity is the generation of mature 5'-ends of tRNAs by cleaving the 5'-leader elements of precursor-tRNAs.
Source: RNAcentral
UGGGAGGAAAGUCCGAACUCCCCAUGAACCCCCGUGGUUCGUGGUCAUGAUAGUGGGUAACACCCACCUGCCGAUGUGCAAACAUCAGGUACGGGCCAGUGCCACAGAGACUAUACUAUCCCGACAGUGUCGGGAGAAACGUGAAAAGUGAACGGAUGUUUUUAUUCUAUAGAUAAAAGCUACCGUUCUCGUCUCGAUAGCAAUGUCGAGAUGUGGUAAACCCUAUCUGGAGAAAGUGCAGCGUUUGGCAUUGCCAAGCGAAAAGUUAGCACGUGAAGAUUUCAUGAGUAAUCAUGAAACAAGAGAAAUGAUCACCACCGUCUCUUUCGAGAGACGCGGUACAAAAUUCGGCUUAUUGUAUAGAGCAACAA